AUGAACGCUGGCGGCGUGCCUAAUACAUGCAAGUCGAGCGAACAGACGAGGAGCUUGCUCCUCUGACGUUAGCGGCGGACGGGUGAGUAACACGUGGAUAACCUACCUAUAAGACUGGGAUAACUUCGGGAAACCGGAGCUAAUACCGGAUAAUAUAUUGAACCGCAUGGUUCAAUAGUGAAAGACGGUUUUGCUGUCACUUAUAGAUGGAUCCGCGCCGCAUUAGCUAGUUGGUAAGGUAACGGCUUACCAAGGCGACGAUGCGUAGCCGACCUGAGAGGGUGAUCGGCCACACUGGAACUGAGACACGGUCCGGACUCCUACGGGAGGCAGCAGUAGGGAAUCUUCCGCAAUGGGCGAAAGCUUGACGGAGCAACGCCGCGUGAGUGAUGAAGGUCUUCGGAUCGUAAAACUCUGUUAUUAGGGAAGAACAAAUGUGUAAGUAACUAUGCACGUCUUGACGGUACCUAAUCAGAAAGCCACGGCUAACUACGUG
Molecule: ribosomal RNA, 496 nt
Filed under: uncultured bacterium
Lineage: Bacteria
Description: partial 16S ribosomal RNA
Rfam family: Bacterial small subunit ribosomal RNA
Source: RNAcentral